AAAAAGCCAAACCCUAGGUUUUCAUGUCCAACUUUAAAUUUUUUUUAUAAUUUGUAUUUUCAUUGUUGUUAGAUGAUAAAAUAUGAUUAAUAUUUUAUGCGUGACUUGUCUUUUUAAUUUUUUUAUAAUUUUUUCAAAUAAAACGGAUGGUCAAUGUUGGACACAGAAACCAGGGUUUGUCUUUUU
Molecule: microRNA precursor, 186 nt
Filed under: Oryza nivara
Lineage: Eukaryota; Viridiplantae; Streptophyta; Magnoliopsida; Poales; Poaceae
Description: MIR812 microRNA precursor family
Rfam family: MIR812 microRNA precursor family
Source: Rfam by way of RNAcentral